RNAcentral lists this long non-coding RNA (5923 nucleotides) under Sus scrofa (pig). RNAcentral describes it as "lncRNA (ENSSSCG00050067372.1)". The record is from RNAcentral. Lineage: Eukaryota; Metazoa; Chordata; Mammalia; Artiodactyla; Suidae.
AAGUCAGAAGAAGUCCAUCUCUGUGUCUUGCUUGUGUUGCUUUCUUUCUUUCUUUUUUUUUUUAGGGCCACACCUGCAGCAUAUCAAGGUUCCCAGGCUAGGGGUUGAAUCGGAGCUGUAGCUGUCGGCUUAUGCCAGAGACACAGCAACGCCAGAUCGAGCGGCGUUUCUGUGGUGUAGGUCAGAGAGGAGUCUCAAAUCCUGCGUUGCUGUGGCUGUGGCAUAGGCUGGUAGCUGUAGCUCCAAUUAGACUCUUAACCUGGGAACCUCAAUAUGCCAUGAGUACGGCAAAACCCCUCCCCCCCCAAAAAAGGAAUGAUGUACUGUGAAAUUUCACUCCUUUUUAUUCCCUCUUUCACCAUCUCUGCAUUUUUGUGAUUCCUCAGAUGUGCCUUCUUUCUUUCUUCCCACCUCCAUGCUCCUGUACAGAUUGUCCCCGUGACCUGGAACGCUCUCUCUUGCUUAUCAAGCCGGCGGACUUCUCCCUUUAGAUCAGAUCUCAUCUGAAGCCAACUUGACUCCCCCAGGGCGACUGAAGUGUUUUUCCUGUUGUCCAUGUGCCGCACGUUGGGUACAUUAUUCCUUUAUAAUGUUCUCAUGAGUGUGUGUAUUACAAUUGUUUGCCUCAGUCUCUCCUCACUGGACUAGGAACACUUUGAGGGCAGAGACUGUAUCUGUUUACUUUUCUAUACUUAACAAAGCGCCUGUAGGAAUGUAAUUCUAUUUGUUGGUGAAUUCGAUGGAUGAAUGGAUGAGUAGGUGGGAUAAAAAAGAAAAACAAUACGCGGAUUGAGACAAAUGAAUAAAUAAACGAAAGAACUAAUGAAAGGCACAAGGGCCUGACCUUAAGAUAUUGUCACGCUUGUAGGGAGACAGGAAUGUAAACACUCUCAGGGUGCAGUGAUAAAUACUUAGAGAUCCUCAGAGGGGAAAUAGCAAGUGGUCAUCAGCAGGCUCUGCCUGUAGACCUGCCUUGUUUCAGCUACACUGUGUUUAUUUACUUAUUUAAAAAAGUAAUUCAGAUCCCGAAUAUAAAAAUCCAGACCUCCAGCUUCCAAAUUUGGCCACCCUGGGCCAUCCUUCUACAGGGACCAGUGUCCUGGAGCUGGAGAAGCUGAGAGUCAGGGGCUGUGUUUAGUGUGGGCCAGUCCUCUGCAGCCCCCUCAGCUUCUCUCAUUUAUGUGACCAUCCUGACUUUGAAUGCACUUGGGUUUGUAACCCCUACUGUAGAUGAUGACUCGGAAUUUUUCCAAGGGGGACGUGAGAAAAGGGACAGUUCAGCGUGGAUGGAAGGAAGGAGGAAGUCGCAGUGAAGGAAGAUCCCAGGAGAUGUGAAAACUACAUAGACUAUUGGAAAACUGGCACAAUUCCCAUCCACCGGAAGUAUACAGAUUGUGGGGGACUUAAAGAGUUGGUUAAGGCCAGAGAAACCUGCAGGGGGCCCCAUCACAGGGUCUUUUUUUGUAGUUCUUUGCUAAGGAGUUUGGAUUUCAAUUCACGGUAAAGGGGAGUACUUGGGGAGUGGUCAAGCUGAGGGAUUGCAUGGUUGUCCCUUGUAAGGUAGAAGAUUCCAGAGGGGGAAGAGGGGAGGUAAGUGAUCCUGAUGGGAGGCUAUUUUCUGGUUCAGUGGUUCUUAAGUCUGGGUGAUUUUGCUUCUCGGGGGACACCGGGCAAAGUCCGGAGAUGCAAGGAGAGGGUGUGUUAUGGGCAUCUCGUGAGUAGAGCCUAGAGGUGCUGCUAAACAUCCUCCAGUAACAAGACGGCUCCCACAACAAAGAACUGUCCAGCCUAAAAGGUCAGUAGUGACAAGACUGAGAAACGUUGCUCUCUUCAGCUGAGUUGUCCAGAGGCCGUGAGCUCCCUAGUGACAGAGAAAGGGAUACAGUCAUUGUGUUUGGGAAGCGGAGUCCGCGGGCCUCAGCAACUGAUUAUUUGAUUGUGUUUGUUAGAGGGGGGAAAAGGAGGAUGAGCAAAUAGGGAGACAAAGCUGAGCAAGAUUUAUUUGGCAAAUGAAGAAGAAACCAGCCUUGAAAAGUAACUGCAAGUGCUAAAUUAUCAGUGCCAUCUUUCGGGUCUAUUGAUUAAACAGCACAGACUAGCACAUUUUCAUCCUUUUACAUCUUUAAGAACAAGCUGGUAUUUGUAAUUUUGUUGGGGACUAGCAAACCUAGCCUAUAUGUGGAAAAAAUAUAGAAAGGUUUCCAUUUAUUCUUUGGUGGCUUGUUUUGCAAAAGAUUUUUACUUUCAGGGUUUGCGAUAAAGUCAUGAGUCCAAGGUCAGUUUAAGUGCUCUCCGAGGUCACUUUCCUGAUGUUUUUCUCUCGCUAGAAGUUCUUUUGACCUUUUAGUAUGUAUUUCUUACAUAAAUCCAUUGGAAAAUGGGAAAUCGUGAAGGUAAUUCUCUCAAACUGUGUUUGAAUUUUUGUUCUAACUUGACUAUUUUGACACUCAUUUUUAUUAGUUAAGGGAAAAUGGAUCUUGGAAUUGACAGCUUUUAACCUUGCAUGUGCUAAAAUUAAUUUGAUCUCUUCUGUUGGUGCAGGAAUUCAGCUUUUGAAGGACCAGGAAGAGGAAGGAAGGUGGAGGUGAAAAGGAAAAGUUGAUUAAUAGUGACCUGGAAUAUUACUUGGUCUUGGCAAAAAGCUUUUUUUUUUUUUUUAAAGUCCCAAAUCUCUACCACAAACAUGGCUUUCUUCAAAUUCUGGUUACUUGUAAACCUUAUGUGUACUCAAGGGGUAUAGAGCAGAUAGGAUUCUGACCUGUCUACCUUAACUUCCAUCUUCACAUAAUCGUAGCUGUUCUUUGUCUUCCCUCUCUGGAAACUGGCAUAAGGAGAAGAGUGAGAAGGUGGGAGAGGGCUCCACUGGUAUUCAUCCAGUACCCACUGGAAUGCCUGUGUCCAUCCUGUUUUGUCAGUGUAUUAACCAGAGUCCCUGCAAAGAGCAGGUGGCACACACCAGUGGGGUAAUUUAAGAAGAAUGGGCAAGUGUGGGGAAACCACAGAGGAAUGUACACAAGACCCCUGGGCGCCCAGAAUGGGCGCCGGUGCCAAGGACAAGGGUGUGGGUGGGCAUGUUACCAGGUCCUGGAGAGAUGAUCUACAGAGAGCCUCAGGAGUUUGACCAUUGGUAGAGAGUCACCGCCAGGCCACACUUCCCUCUGGUCUUCUGAUGUCCCUCAGUGUCCCCUCCUUGGCCAAACCAGUUCCAGGCCAGAGGGCGGGGGGCAGCAGGGGUGGGGUGGGACGGGGCUUUGGCUGUGAUUCAUACCACCACCAUCCUGGGUGAGAAAGCAGGGUGGAGAAGGUUAGGGGGUGCAUCUGAAGAGGCAGGUGGAGGAUAUCUGGGGCACUGGGACAUUCGUUCUGAUUGUUUCCCUCUUGUGGUCAGAUAUUUGUGGAGGAAUCAGGUGGUGGGGGUUGAGGGGUGGCUGUGCUUUGGAGUCACAGAGUCUGGUACAGAAUCACAUCUGCUCCACUUGCUCAAGAGUGAUUCUCGGCUCUUCUAAGUUCACCAAGCUCGUGUUUCCUCAUCGUAUAGUGGGAUCAAGUCUAAUGCCUAAACCAAAAGCUUUUGGGGAGGCUCAAAACAGAAAAUAUUUCACUGCUCUUGAGGGGACUUGGAAAAGGCUGGAAGAGGCUGUAGGAAAAUGUGAGCAGCAGACCUCAGUGGAGUUGUUUUUCUAUAAAAACAGAUAUAACUCUGUCGUGAGCUUAGAGUUGCUUUUUUGUUCAAUACAUUUUUCUAUAUUUCAGAUUCCUUACCUCAGGAAAACGAAAACAAGGGUUAUUGAUAAAUAUGUUGGUACUAUGCUCCAAAUGAUAAUUGUUCGCUGACACUGUGCUCUCUGCUUUACUGAGGUGUGUGGAUUAGCAUCCACAGCAGAGCUGACUUGACUGUGGGCACACCGCCAUGUGUCAUUUCUUGUGAUGUGGCCAUAGGCGCAAUUCUAGUGUCUCAUCCCCAGGAAGCCUCUGCCAGCCCCUCCAGGGCUUCUCCUCUGAGUAACUGUCGCCCAGGGCUACUCCCAGCACUUAGCACAUCCUGUUGCAAUGAUUCCCUCUGCUAGACUGGGACCUCCUUAGGCCCACGCUGUUCUAUUCAUCUCCGAAUCAUGGGCCUUGUCUCUUGUUCCUAAAUGCUGCCUUCCUUCCUGUUAGCCCAGGUUCCCUUACAGGCUACAGGGAGUCCUCAGGCUCAGGAACCAGAGCUCCUGCAGCAGAGAACAGCUGACCUAUACUUUGUCUAUGCUCCAUUUCCAAAGUCCUGGGGAAGAAUUUUGAUUAUUUUCAUAUGGGUCAGGUCUACAUCCUUUCAACUAGUCCCAGGGAGUGGUAUGUUAUAAUGAUCUCAGCUUUAGUCAGUGGUCCAUUCCCAGGGGAAUCUGGUGCGGUGAGUGAGGCAGGGUCUCUACAAUCAUGUCAGCUCUUAUAAAUCCAUUGGUUGCAGUGGAGGAAGAUGAAUCAGUUAGGAAUGCAUUCAGCUUCAUGAUAAUAGCAAGAAGCUCUUAUUUAAAUCAACGGGUUGCCCUGGGGAAGAAGCAUAUAUCAGGAAUAUAUUUGCAAAAGUGCAAACAUUGGUUUUUGGAGGAUGAAAGUAUCUGAGAUACUGCAGUGAUGUGUAGCCUUCUAAAGCCCAUCCCUACCUAACAAUGUAAACAGAUAUGUAUAGGUAUUAAAAUUUCAUGAGGGCAGGGAUAGGAAAGGUAUGUCUAAAAAGGGGUUUCAGUGGAUUUGAUGGUGAAAAAAAAGGGUUGCGAUACACUGAGUUAUAAUGACAGUUAUCAUGCCUAACACUUAUGUAGUACUUAACAAGCAACAGAAUUUUUUUUUUUGCCUUAUAUAUUUUAUUAACUCUAAAAAUAUGGCCAUUUUACAGUGGCUUCAACAAGUAGACUUGAUUUCCUACUCUCUUGCUCUUAAAUAAAAGUCCAAAGGUGAUUAGACCAUGUCAAAAUGAGCGUAUCUUUAGUUGUGUAGACUUUUCCUUCAGGCUAGUAACCUCAUGGUUAUGAGAUCAUUGCUGUAGCUCCAGACAUUGCAUCCACCUUUAAUACUAGAAGAGUGGGGAAAAAAUGGAGAAAGCAGUAUCUCCUUUUUCUUUUUGUUCAUCUUUUUUAAAAAUGAGAAAAGUAAAAGCUUUUCCAGAAACUCUCCUACUGGAUUUCUGCCUAUGUCUCUUUGGGUGGAAUAAGGUUGCCUGGCCACUUGUAGCUAAAAGACAGGUAGGGAUAGGAGAACAAGAUUGUUCUGUUCACUUAGAUCCACACAAUCUAAUAUGAUAGCCAGCUAGGACUAUUCAAAACAGGUUUUUUUGUAAUUGAGAUACAAUUCAUAGUCCAUAGUAUUUACCAUACUAAGUGCAUAUUUUGGUGAUUUCUUAUAUAUUCAUGAGAUUAUGCAACUGUCACCACUAUUUAAUUCUAGAAUAUUUUCAUCACUACCAAAAGAUUCCAAUAUUCAUUAGUAGUCACUCCCCAUUCCCCCUUCCCCCAGCCCGUGGCAACACAAAGCUACUUUCUGUCCCUACGGAUUUGUCUGUUCUGCACAUUAUACAUAAAUGGAAUUAUAUGAUAUGUGGCAUUUUAUGUCUGGCUUCUUUCAGUUAGCAUACAUUUUUUAAGGUUCAUUUAAGUUGGAACAUGUGUCAGCACUUAAAAAAAAAAAAAAAUAGGAGUUCCCAUCCUGGCUCAGCUGAAAUGAAUCUAACUAGUAUCCAUGAGGAUGCAGGUUUGAUCCCUGGCCUCACUCAGCGGUUUAAGGAUCCAGCAUUGCCAUGAGCUGGGGUGUAGGUCACAGAUGCAGCUCAGAUCUGGCGUUCCUUCGGCUAUGGCGUAGGCCUAUGGCUACAGCUCAGAUUCCACGCCUAGCUUGGGAGCUUCCAUAUGCCCCAGGAGUGGCCCUGAAAGGCCAAAAAAAAAAAAAA